RNAcentral lists this ribosomal RNA (429 nucleotides) under Chloroflexota bacterium. RNAcentral describes it as "Chloroflexi bacterium partial 16S ribosomal RNA". It matches the Rfam family "Bacterial small subunit ribosomal RNA", at positions 355 to 776 of the family's 1533-position model. The record is from RNAcentral. Lineage: Bacteria; Bacillati; Chloroflexota.
UGGGGAAUAUUGCACAAUGGGCGCAAGCCUGAUGCAGCCAUGCCGCGUGUAUGAAGAAGGCCUUCGGGUUGUAAAGUACUUUCAGUCGGGAGGAAGGUGGUAAGGUUAAUAACCUUAUCAAUUGACGUUACCGACAGAAGAAGCACCGGCUAACUCCGUGCCAGCAGCCGCGGUAAUACGGAGGGUGCAAGCGUUAAUCGGAAUUACUGGGCGUAAAGCGCACGCAGGCGGUUGAUUGAGUCAGAUGUGAAAUCCCCGGGCUUAACCCGGGAAUUGCAUCUGAUACGGGCAAGCUUGAGUCUCGUAGAGGGGGGUAGAAUUCCAGGUGUAGCGGUGAAAUGCGUAGAGAUCUGGAGGAAUACCGGUGGCGAAGGCGGCCCCCUGGACGAAGACUGACGCUCAGGUGCGAAAGCGUGGGGAGCAAACAGG